UAAAACAUAACAAAACCAAGUGUCCA
Molecule: non-coding RNA, 26 nt
Filed under: Rattus norvegicus (Norway rat)
Lineage: Eukaryota; Metazoa; Chordata; Mammalia; Rodentia; Muridae
Source: RNAcentral